UAGCGACGCUCUGGAAAGUGCCACUUCUCGACAGAGGGGGGCCGCCGAAGGGGUAACCUCGUGAAGCCUUUCUGGAGAGGAAGGUGGGGGAAAGCUCUCAGGUUUCCGUGACAGAGGGGGCGCC
RNAcentral lists this non-coding RNA (124 nucleotides) under Novosphingobium sp. CECT 9465. RNAcentral's name for it is "Glycine". It matches the Rfam family "Glycine riboswitch aptamer". Rfam says of the family: This family represents the bacterial glycine riboswitch. Glycine riboswitches usually consist of two metabolite-binding aptamers domains with similar structures in tandem. Lineage: Bacteria; Pseudomonadati; Pseudomonadota; Alphaproteobacteria; Sphingomonadales; Sphingomonadaceae. The record is from RNAcentral.